RNAcentral lists this transfer RNA (85 nucleotides) under Felis catus (domestic cat). It matches the Rfam family "tRNA". From Rfam's summary of the family: Transfer RNA (tRNA) molecules are approximately 80 nucleotides in length. Their secondary structure includes four short double-helical elements and three loops (D, anti-codon, and T loops). Further hydrogen bonds mediate the characteristic L-shaped molecular structure. tRNAs have two regions of fundamental functional importance: the anti-codon, which is responsible for specific mRNA codon recognition, and the 3' end, to which the tRNAs corresponding amino acid is attached (by aminoacyl-tRNA synthetases). tRNAs cope with the degeneracy of the genetic code in two manners: having more than one tRNA (with a specific anti-codon) for a particular amino acid; and 'wobble' base-pairing, i.e. permitting non-standard base-pairing at the 3rd anti-codon position. Lineage: Eukaryota; Metazoa; Chordata; Mammalia; Carnivora; Felidae. The record is from Rfam by way of RNAcentral.
GCCUAGGUGGCUCAGUCAGUUGAGCGUCUGACUUCAGCUCAGGCCAUGAUCUCAUGAUCUGUGGAUUUGAGUCCCACAUCAGGCC